Molecule: long non-coding RNA, 1730 nt
Organism: Esox lucius (northern pike)
Lineage: Eukaryota; Metazoa; Chordata; Actinopteri; Esociformes; Esocidae
Source: Ensembl
UCCCAAACGAUGAACCCUCCUUCCAUCUCCAAUAUAAGGGCAGGAAUGCAGAGUCCAGCAGGCUCCCAGAAUAGACAUCAGUAGCCAGUCCAUCUAAAAGCAGCCAGACUGAUAAAGGGCACAACACACACACACACACACACACAAACCGCUUCUACUCAAGACAAGCACACCUUCUAAGCUUGUCUAUGUGCGUGUUAAAAUUAGCAUUUGACUAUAGAGGAGUGUUGAGAGGUGAGCACUUGGCUUGACUACUAAUUACAGUUUAUGCCUGGAGAAUAUGAGACCUCUACAAUUAUGACUUUACUGUGUACAGCAGCUUUAGGGAACAUCCAGAAUGAAUCUCCUACCUGUCACUGCUAACCAUCCAUCAGUCUUACCUGGAGGACUAGAUGACUACAAAGUAUGUGAGUUAAACGGGCGUGUGUUUGAGGGCACAGACAUAUGGAGGGAAAGACUGAAAUUAAAACAGGAAAAGUGUAACAGAGGGAUUGCCUCUCUAAUCUAUAUAAAAACCUGUGUGUGAAAAGGAUUUAAUGCAAAUUGCUUUUCUCCUCUUAAGUUAAUUUUCUCUCUCAAAUAACACACACACUCCUAACGGACUCUUGAACAUGCAUUCACACACACACACACACCUACACACACACUGCAGUGCUGUACAGUGCAGUAGAGUAUGUACAGAAGCAGCUCUGGGACAGGUAGAAUCCAGGCCAUGCUUCAGUGUCCUUCUCCGUGUGCUACUCUAUCCACUCCCCUCUUUCUCUUCUCCUCCCCUCAUCCCCUGUCCUCUCCUAGCCAAGCCUCUCCCUCAUCAAUUCACCGGCUCUCUGGUGACAAGUUUAUUAAACGCCAGAGAGUGGAUUCGAAGGCCUGUCGUGCUCUUUAGCUCGUCUGCCUGUUAUUUAAUCACAAAUUUUUUCAUUUGAUGGGUUAACCUUAAAAUCGGCGCAUUUAGGCACUGCAGUUUAAAAACCAAGUCCGGAUAGCGCUAGAUACAUGUUGUAGUCACAUAUUCAGACGGACACAGAGAUGUCAGCGAGUUACUAUGCAACACGGCACAACACUUCAUUCAGUGUUAAUUCGCAACACUUAAUCACGCCGGUUUUGAACAUGGUUCUGAGUGGUAGAGGUCAUAUCGUGGAGACUGUACAAUAACGAACGAUGUUGGUGAUACUGGUUAAAGUUCCCAGCUAUGUGUUUGCUUGAGCGUAUCUAUGUGUAUUCAUACUACUGUGUCUGCAUGAUCCUGUGUCUACAUGUCUCCCUCUGGACAAGCAUGGGAAAGAGAGAGGAAGAGAGAGACAGAAAGGGGAAGAGAGAGGGGAGAGAGAGAGGUGGUAAAGGGAGAGGGAGGGAAAGAGAGGAAUGAAGAAUGAGAGAGAGGAAAAGAGGGACAGAGAGGGAGGGACCAGGAUGGGGAGAGAGGGAGAAAGGAAAGUGAGGGGAAGCGAGAGAGAGUUAGUGGGGGAAGAUAUAUAGAGACACACAGGAGAGAGACUGAGCAGGAUGCUGCAGUUCUAGCUGCAUUGGCUUUCUGAUGGGAUGAGAGAUAGACUGGGGAUCGGUGGUGGAGGUGGAAAAGAUAGACUGGGGAUCGGUGGUGGAGGUGGAAGAGAUAGACUGGGGAUCGGUGGUGGAGGUGGAAGAGAUAGACUGGGGAUCGGUGGUGGAGGUGGAAGAGACAGACUGGGGAUCGGUGGUGGAGGUGGAAGAGACAGACUGGGGAUCGG